UGUCCUUAGUACGAGAGGACCGGGAUGGACGCACCGCUGGUGCACCAGUUGUCACGCCAGUGGCACAGCUGGGCAGCUAUGUGCGGAUCGGAUAAACGCUGAAAGCAUCUAAGCGUGAAGCCGGCUCCAAGAUUAGAUAUCCCAUCGAUUUAUUCGAGUAAGACCCCUUGUAGACUACGAGGUUGAUAGGCUGCGUGUGUAAGUGCCGUGAGGCAUUCAGCUUGGCAGUACUAAUCGGUCGAGGGCUUGACCAU
RNAcentral lists this ribosomal RNA (254 nucleotides) under Bacillota bacterium. Its description in RNAcentral is "partial 23S ribosomal RNA". It matches the Rfam family "Bacterial large subunit ribosomal RNA", at positions 2673 to 2925 of the family's 2925-position model. The record is from RNAcentral. Lineage: Bacteria; Bacillati; Bacillota.